GUCCCAGUAGGGUAGCGGAUAUCCUUUAGGCCUGCGGAGCCUAAGACCCGGGUUCAAGUCCCGGCUGGGACG
RNAcentral lists this non-coding RNA (72 nucleotides) under Methanosarcinales archaeon Met12. Its description in RNAcentral is "tRNA-Arg". It matches the Rfam family "tRNA". Rfam says of the family: Transfer RNA (tRNA) molecules are approximately 80 nucleotides in length. The record is from RNAcentral. Lineage: Archaea; Methanobacteriati; Methanobacteriota; Methanomicrobia; Methanosarcinales.